RNAcentral lists this long non-coding RNA (386 nucleotides) under Manacus vitellinus (golden-collared manakin). RNAcentral describes it as "lncRNA (ENSMVIG00005015818.1)". Lineage: Eukaryota; Metazoa; Chordata; Aves; Passeriformes; Pipridae. The record is from RNAcentral.
AUAAACAUCUCUUCGUGCACUUGAGUAUGCUAGAUAGAUUUAUCCUACAUUUGUGAAUAAUCUCCUAAACCUAUCCGAGUUUAUAGAUAAGAAGUCUGCUGUUCAUGCCUACAUAAAUGAAUGUCGAUACAGAACUACAGACUGAACCCCACCAGUUUUCCUCAUGGGAACUGAACUUCUGAAGUUAAUGGAGCUAUCCAUGUGAGCACUCCCUACCCUGGAAAUCAAGAACCUCCUAAUGAACAUGGUGCUAAAGCAAACAGAGAUUCCUGGGGACUGCACAGUUCAGCACCCUUGAAAGGAGAAAAGGGAGACAGAGGAGCUCCAGGACCACCAGGUAUCCAAAAUUCUAAACAGAAAUUAAGAAAAUUUUCUCUUCUGUGCUG